CAAGAUCAUUAGGGGUGCCUUAACAAAACGGGCUGAGAUCAUACCCACAAUACCUGAUCCGGGUAGUGCCGGCGAAGGGAAAUGAGUAACCAAUACG
RNAcentral lists this non-coding RNA (97 nucleotides) under Aquiflexum balticum. RNAcentral's name for it is "TPP sequence". It matches the Rfam family "TPP riboswitch aptamer (THI element)". From Rfam's summary of the family: Vitamin B(1) in its active form thiamin pyrophosphate (TPP) is an essential coenzyme that is synthesised by coupling of pyrimidine and thiazole moieties in bacteria. The previously detected thiamin-regulatory element, thi box was extended, resulting in a new, highly conserved RNA secondary structure, the THI element, which is widely distributed in eubacteria and also occurs in some archaea. The record is from RNAcentral. RNAcentral also lists the same sequence under 1 other name. Lineage: Bacteria; Pseudomonadati; Bacteroidota; Cytophagia; Cytophagales; Cyclobacteriaceae.